Molecule: small nucleolar RNA, 105 nt
Organism: Lycium barbarum (goji berry)
Lineage: Eukaryota; Viridiplantae; Streptophyta; Magnoliopsida; Solanales; Solanaceae
Source: RefSeq, a predicted model, not a curated record
AUGGUGGUGAGGACAAUCUCUGCAAAGAGCUUUGAACCUCUCAUAUGCUUUAUAUAAAUUUUCUCCACUUUUUUGCCUAAAUGACAUGAUCUCCCUUCGGAGGCU